CCAGGCACGUUUCUAACCGUGUACUGGAACAAUACAUAGUCUGCGAUUCUCUUUCUCCCUCUUUUCUCCCUCCGGUUAACACGUGAAAUUCGGCCUUAGAAAACACACGCGCGCGCGCGCACACACACACACACACACACACGAUGGAAUUUGUUCCAUAUCUUUUUUUUUUUUUUUUAAAACCUUCGAGAGGCAUAAAUCCAAACCUAAAAUUAAAAACAUCCCCAAAUUUGGUUUUGGGAAUCAUGUUGGCUUUUCCUCUUCAGCGGCAUUCCUUCCCCAGUGCUGCAUAAGGACUGCUACUUUCUCGAGGAGGGAAGUAUCAAAAGGAAACGGUGUGUGUGUGCGCGCGCGCGCGUUUAUUUUUGGCGCAUGCACACCCCUCGGUAGCCUCAAGGUCGGCGACACCCUGAGCAUUCGGGCCCCCGCCUACAGGGCUUGUUCCUGCCAGCCAAGGACUCGAGAAGGUGGGAGUCCCCAGUCUCGGCGGGGCGCCUGGGACUCGGUUCAGUGUUUAGCACAGUCAGUACCGAAGCAGGGGCAGCCAGGUGGGAGCUGAGCGCCCCAAAGGUGGACCCCAAUCAGCAGCGAGUGGGCAGCGGGGACCUGACUCGCCGGCGCCUCGGGGCUCCCCGGCCGGCUCUCUGCGCCCUGAAGCUGGGUAUCUGGGGGCGCUCUCCCGGGCCGCAAGCAGGCACGGAAUUUGACGCCCGGAGAGGCAGCUGGUCCUGCUUAGGACUCCUGAUUCUCCUCAGAUGGAAACAGUUUCUCCCGGUGAACCUGCCCGAAUUCCCAGUGGACUCGCACUUCGGCUUUGCCCACUGGCGCAUUUAACCAAGGCCGCAUUUACCGCUUUGAGGCAAAUUUGAGCUUCAAAUGGAGCGAGACUCCUGGUUGCAGAACAAGGUUCAUGAAAUUUUCAGGAAUUAAAAGUUAGUCCUGAGGAAAGUUCAUGAAUGUCUAAUGCUGGGCUGUGAUUCUUGCAGAGACAACUACAAAAGGAUGGACUCCAGCAAGAGGAAAAGUGAAUCUAAGGAAUGGAGUGGGAUAUAAGCAAUAGUGGUGAGUAGAAAUAGUAGUAAAAUUAGAACAUUUAGUUCUAAUAUAAAUCAGUGAUUUUAUUGGAAAAAAAAAAAAAGUUAGGUCAGCUGAAUUUAUUUCCGCUAAACUCUCUGCCUGUGGUUUCAACUAUUUUCAGUUUAGUGAUUCAUUCUUAUUUAAGUAUUACCUGUUUCUCUCACUAGCCCACCAUUACGACACUAAGAAAACAUAAUAGGUACUCAAAAAAUAUUUCUCCAGUGAAUAAAUGUAUUUUCAUUUGAAUUUUAAGAACAGUUUUUGAUGAGAGAUAGCAUUUCCUUGAGAUUAAGUAUCUGAAAAUAUGCUAUAGUUUUAGCUCUACUUUAAUCAGUCUUUGUUCUGGAACAAAAUACUAUAGCUUCUUUAGAUUCUGCUUUCUCACUGAAAUUGAGGAUGAUAAUAUAUACCUUAUUAAUUCCUCAAGAAGUUGAGGUUAAAAAAAGGUAAAGUGCAUGACUGAAUAAUAUGUUUGAGAUUUAUUUUUUCAUCUAUUUAUAUGCCUCAUUGUCUAGUGGCCAGAUAAACAUUUAAUGCUUCACUGAAAGUAUAUCCAAAUCAGGAUGCAAAAGUAGCUUGCAAGGUCUCCUAUAUUUCCUUUCAGAAAAUUAAGCAAGGAUUAAAAAGAAGAGUAAAUGAGGGAGACCAGAGAAAUUCUAAGAACCUAGGCAAGGGUCCUCUCAGCAGGAAGCUGUAAGACCAUGGUAAACAAUAUUUGCAUGGUAUCCUUAGGCACACUGUACCAAAGGCAGCCUCAAAAAUAUUUUUUUAUAUGAUUGUUGCCUAGAACUGCCAUACCAGAAUGAGCUACAUGGACGGGGAAUGGAUAUCAAAACAUGGAACCAAGUAUUUGAGGGCCUUCCCCCAAACACUUUAGGGCUACAUUUGAUUCUGAGACCAUGAAUGGAGUCUUUAGGGGAUUGAGAUGUGAAUGACAAUGCUCAAGAAUGGCAAACUGGAUUUUUCAUCUAUCUCAGUGUGCAAAUAAGUUGAUUUGAAAAUCUGUGAACUGUACUGUAUUAUCGGAUGGGAAUGUCAAUUCUUCCUGAAUUAAGAUGUGAGUUUGGCACAAUUCCAGUCCAGAGAAUUGUAUCCUUUGUUUGUUUUUACAAUAAGACAGUUAUAAAAAAGAAGCUGAAUGAUACAUUAAUGUUAAAAGUCAGACUUUUGGUGAAAAGUGGUCUUGGUCUCAAAAUAGGCAUUCACUUGGUACUUCCUAAUAAGUCAAUUGUUGAAAAAGUCCAGGUUCCAUUUAUGUUCUGUUAUCUUUUCACCUGGAGUUUUUGAUUAUUGAAACUGGUGGUAUGGCUACUUGCUGAUAGUGAGCUGCCACAAAAUGUAUGUGUUUGGAUUUAAAUGUUUAAUCUUAGGGCAGCAGAUGAAUUCCAGCUCUUGUAAUCUCUACUGAGGUCUCUUCUGCUUUCAUGCUGUCCAUCGUUCUGACUAGUAACAGUCUUCCAUUCAUUGAUUUUCUACAAGACAAAAUGUAAACUUAAUAAAUAUUUUUUGCUUUUUUGCACUACAUAUUUAAAAGAAGUUAUAUAAUUUAGGUCAAGAGUUAAAGAAAUAUCAAUACCUGGACACAAGUGUACAUUAAUUGAUAGCAUCCAUGUUUGACACUAACAGAUUUGAAGGUCUGCAUAGAGAAGUAUCCCAUAAUUAAUUAGUCUACUGGAAUGAAAAAAUUUCCAAAGACAUACAGUGAGGAUUCUGGUUCUUUGCAGUUUCAGAAAAACUUGUUUGGAGAAAAAUCUUUUGGAAAUGCAUAUUUUCCUUUUCAAAGUCAUCUUGAACUGCUUUGAAAUUAUGAGCAAGAAGAAGACUCAUAUCUGUUUUUCUUUAGUCACAUUUUAAAACAUUUUAGUAAAAUAUAUAAAUAAUAGAUGAUGAUCAUUUUCACAUCUAAUAAAAUUAAUGGUUUUGACAUUAAGACAGGAGUCUUGUUGGGCAUACAAAGCAGCCAAUGUAGUUAGGGAAGUAUAUUUUUCAGAGUCCAGUUAGGUAAUAGAAACCCCAGCAAUUGUUUUAACAAGAGAAUUUAAUACAAAUAAGUGUCAGCCAGGAAUUGAAAACCUGAAAAAAGAGAACACUACAUUUUUCACAGAGAUUCUCUAAUGUUGGGGAAUAAAAGGGAGAGGCUAGGGUUAUUAAAGUUUAGAAGCUUUGAUGAAGGACUCAGUGAGCUAAGACAAACUUCCGAGAAAGCGUGUUGCUGAGUUGUGAUGCUGCCUCAGGAAUGCCACGAAAUGCUGUGUGCUAGGACCCACACCUUUGAGUAGGGGGCACCAGUUGGCAUUACCUGACAUCUGUGAGGGGGCAGAACAAUGUUGGUUCUAUGGUUGUUGAACAAAAUGCAAACUAGAAUCAGUUGUACUAUUGGAACAACUAGCAACUAUCAGGGUAAAGCACUGCUCAGUUAUGCUGAGAAUAGGAAACAAAUCAGGAACAGGAAACAGCCUAGCAGGAAAGUAUCCUUUCUUCAUCUUCUAUUCUUCUAAUAUCUCUCUUUGCUGUCCCCUUUUGGUAGCCUAAUAAUAAUUUAGCUGACAACAGAACUGUGGUUUCCAGAGUCCCAGCCCCAUAGGUGAAAUAAGGAAGAAUGGUUUGAAUCUAAGAGACAAUAGCUUAACAAUGAAUAUGGGGAAAAACAAAAUAAAACUUACUUGUUUUUCUUGCCUUCUCUAUGAUUAUUUCAUCAGAAACAUGUUCAAUACUUUCAGCUUUCCAUAUUUUAGAUAAAAGUAACCAUUUUUUAUAAAAUACUUUUUUUCUUACUGAAUUAUGGAGUGUGAAAAGAGAGUAGUUGAAUAAAGGUUGAUAGCUAAACAUAUGCAUGUAUUUUCUACAAGUCUUUUAAGAUAGCCUAAAAUAUAUUUUUAUAUUCUAAAUCUUAUGUAAUAAAAAAUAAUUCAUGACAGGAAUAAUUAAGGAAGAUAGCAUGGAUUUGCUUCAUGUAGAAGAACACUGUAGAAAAGGCACAGCACAAAAGAAAGCAGAAUCCCAUCAGAGAUGUGGGUGUGAUCUCCAGGGAGCUCCAAGCUCAAAGUAAAUGAAUUUAAGGCAGGCAUAGUUUCUGGAACAUUGGGUUCAGUAGUAGUGUAAUUGUUUUCUGAGCCUGAGAACCAGUCAGCCUCCCUUUUCUUCUCCAAUUGUGCUGAGCCAUGGAAUGUUACAAUUUACUGUCAUGAUAAAGUAAUGAGUGUAGGCUUUGAGGCCUGAUUAGUUAGUUCUUUAGAAAGCUGUGACCAGGUGUCUGUUCAUGACUUUUGCCCAUUUUUAAUGGGGUAGUUGUUUUUUGCUUGUUCAAUUGUUUGAGUUCCUUUUAGAUUCUAGAUAUUAAAACUUUCUAGAUUUUGGACAGUAAAACAGUGAUAUGGAGUACGAAGAGGACCAGACAAGCAACUAUUGACUGAGAAAAUCUAUCCCUAUAAGGAAGAGUCACCAAAUUCAACAAAUAGACUUUCUACCUGAAAAUGUCAUUUGACUACAAAGUAUUUUAAAAGCUUUAAUUGAUAUUGAAGAAAGGAUAUAAUAUCUAUAAAAAGUAAGGCAUUAUGUGAAGAAGAUAGGUAACUUUGUAAUUUAAAUACAGUGGUACAAAUUUAAAGAUCUCAUUAAUUAGCUUAAUGGCAAAAUAGACACCACUGAUGAGUAGCAAGUCAAAGGUUUCUCCAGUAUGGAGAAAAAAACAGAUAUUUAAAAUGACAGAAAGUUUAUAUUAUAUAGAAGAAGCAUCAAGAAUGUACAGUGUAUCUAUUUUCUAAGCAUUCCAAGCACAUAGAACAGAAAAGGUGGAAGAGAAGAAAUAAUCACAGCAGUUAUUAUAAAAUAUUUUCAGAGUGAAAUAUAACACCAAUUAAAAGUAACCAGUGGAUUAAGUAACAAAAGACACAUAUGUUUGUUUAUUGUGUUCAAUGACAUAUCUCUACCACACAGAACACUGCUUGAUACAUAGUAGGUGCUCAAUAAAUAUUUAUCAAAGGAAUGAAUUAGUCUAAACAUAAAAAGGCAAAUUUUGAGAACACUAAUGAUAAAGAAAAAAAUCUAAGUUAAUCUACAAAGAAAAAAAAAGAAAUGGAAAUAAAAAUUUUGUAAGACUUACCAAAAAGAGAUUCUAAGUGGGACAAAAUUUCAGAUUCUGAAGGAAUUGAUUUUGAGCCUAAAUUCUUAUAGCCAGUUACAUUAGCAUUUAAGUACGAAUGUAGAAUAAGAAUUUACAAACAUGCUAAAACUCAGAAAGAUAAUCAUUCACAUAUUCUGUAAAAUGAAUAUUUAAGCUUGUCACGAAACAAAAUGAAUUGAAGAGGGACAUAGAUUGGUGAGCAAAUAAAUCAAUGAAGCAUGUAGUGAAGUUCAUACAAUUGUGGUUUAUUGAAAACAAAGAGCUAUUUGGGACUAAAAUCCCCAAAGAGCUCACCAGAAGAAAUAGUGAGUCAGGGGUUAGAGGAAGAGCAGAAUGGGGAAUAGCAGGUUGAAAGAAAAGAAAGCAUUCCUGUUUUCUUCAAUAGGUUAGUAUACAAAUAUAUUAAUUUUAAAAAAUGUGUUUGAACCUAAAGGAAAUCUUAGAUUAAAUGUUCUUAAAAUGCAGAGUACAUAGACUCCUUUUAUUUUUUUUAAAUAUUGAAUCACAUGAUAUGAGCAUUUUUAGCAUUGAUAGAUACUGGCAAAUUCUCUGCAGUGAAGUAUAUCAAUUUAUGUUCUAACAACAGCUUUUUCAACUAUUCAUUCCCUAUACCUUCACAACACUUGAUAUAAUUAAGCUGUCUUCCCUCAGCUACCAUAUUAUGCAUAUGAUUUUGCAACUUGCUAUUUAUUUUAACAAUGUGUAGUAACCAUUACUUGAGGUGAGUAAAUGAAAGAUCCAACUCAUUUUUUAAACAGGUGCAUAAUGUUUUAUGGUAGCUGUAUUUAUUCUGAUUAUGCCAAUUUUAUUGCUGGCACUAUUGUUUAUAAUAAAAGUUAUUAAAUAUUAUGUAAAGAAACAUUGGCGGGUCAAAUAACAAAUGAGUAUCUAAUUUGUGCAUACUGCUCUUUGAUUUCUUUCAUAUAGUGAAUUAAAUAACAAAAGACACAUACUUCCGUGUCUUUUGAUUAAGCUAUUUAUUUUUUUGACCACUCAGUCAAAAACACUGCUUUAAUUCAUUCAUAAUUCUUAUUACUGUCUGAAAAGUUUUAUUCAUUUACGUUUUUCUAGUAUCUCACUUUGUUCACUUUUAGAAUGUAUACUCUUUUAGGCAGGGAACUUGACCAACUUUCUUUAUGCCUGAUAUUUAUAGUAGUUAAUAAGCAAAUACAAGAAUGAAGGAAUGAGUGAAUGCCAGUGUCUUCCUACCUACUUACUUUUGUUUUUGCUGUUCCCUCUACCAAAAAUGUAACCUGUCAAGUUGUAUUUAUUCUUCAACACCUAGUUCCAAUUCCUUUUUAUUAAUAAACUAUCCCUAGAUCCACUUGCCCAAAUAAGUGGCUUUCUCCAUUACUCAUGCCUUACAAGUACCCUAUACUGUUGUACUCUUACUCUUACCUCAUUCUGACUUCCACCUUAAAAACAUCAGUAGUUGCCCAAACAUCAGUAGUUGCCCAAACAAUUUGUUUUCUCAGUAGAUUAUAGAUUCCUUGAAGACAGAGCCUAUGUCUGUUCAUUUUUCUGUCCUCCAGAGCACCAUCAUUGUGCCUUACACUUGACAGAAUGUUGUUUAACUGAAUUGAGUAAUUACUGUAAGUACCUUAAUACUUUUUGUAGCAGGCUUAGUGGAAAAGUAAUAUAAUUUGAAAUCAGAAAAAAAGUAUGAAACCUAGUUCUUUCAGUCUUAGCUGUGUGAUAUUAUUUUUCAAUUAAGCCCAUGUACCCUUUCCUCACCUGUAAAGAAGGAUUAUAAUUCCUAAAUAGCAAGGUUGAAGUGAAGAGUAAACAUGAAACAUACAUGUGAAGUAAACAUGAAGAGUCUAUAUAAUGCAUAGUUGUUGGAACACAGUAGGUAAAUAUUUGUUGAUUUACUUCUUUGUUCAGUAAACAUUUGAUGGCCUACCGUGUGCCAGACAAUGAUUGAUGGUGUUGAUGAUGAUAAUAAUGAAGAAGAAAGAGAUGAUGAUGAAGUCACAAGCUUCAAUUGAAUUCCCAUUAAUGAAUGCUUGUAAUUUUGGGGAAUGGUGAAAAACAAUGACAUAGAUUCUCACUUAAGUAAUUUGGUGUUCAGGUAUGUACUAUUGAGCAACAAUAAAAUUUCAGUCUUGAGAUGUCAUUUUAUUAGAUCAAAUUCUCUUUCAAUUGAAAAAUUAGUAAAUAUAGAAUCCCUUUUUAAUUGUAAGUCUCAAAAUAAAAGUGAAGAACAUCUCAUUUACUUUUGAGGUUCUGUUAUAUGAAGUAAACAAUAGAUUUAUGUAACAUUAGCAUGUAGAGUAGAAAAGAAAGUCUUGAAUAUUAAAUCUGUGAAUAUAAUAAAAGUAAACUAAGAUUAGGAACCGCAUUUCAAAUUUAAAAAUGUUCUCAACCAAACAAAUUUUAAAAGCAGACAGCUCAAAUGUAUAACCUUAACCAUCUAUCUAGUUUUUUGAAAUAAAAUACAGUUUUAUUAUGGUGUAUUCUGCUUCUGGGGAAAAUACAGUAAUGUCAGUAAUUGGGAAAAGUUGGAAAAUUUUUAUUAAUCAAAACACAGACUAAAAUUAUGCCCCAAAUUGCAUUUGCAGUAAUUUUCUUUAUGCUUCUCCAUUUCUAGCAUGUAAGAUGAGCUUUCUCAGCCCCUUUCUUGGAAAGUAUAUAUUAAUGAUUUUCAGAUUAUGACUUCUUCAUUAUUUUAUUAGAAGUUGAGAGAGUUCAGAAUGUUGUCAAUCACAUACAUGAUUUUUUAAUAGUGACUUUUGGAUUCUUAUGA
Long non-coding RNA from Sapajus apella (tufted capuchin), 7946 nucleotides. RefSeq lists it as uncharacterized. The transcript has 3 exons. The record is from RefSeq and is a predicted model, not a curated record. NCBI's taxonomy places the organism in Eukaryota, Metazoa, Chordata, Mammalia, Primates, Cebidae.